UUCGUUCCCAUUCUCUCUCUGUCCUCUUUUCUCUCUCUCGUCUCGUAUUCUCUCUCACACACUACACACACUAAAUCAUAUCAGAUCUUCCCCUCCGUCUCUCUCUCUCUCCCUCUCUCUAUAUAUAUGGCAUAGAUUCACGCAUUAAACCCGGAGGAAAGCUUGUCCAGAGUGCUACUCUUUUACGGCCGUCUCUAAUUCGCUUGGUGCAGGUCGGGAACUGCUUUUCCCACGACGUCGUUGGGUGAUUUCUGAUGAAUGAUGUUUCUGGUGAAUUGAAGUCCCGCCUUGCAUCAACUGAAUCAGAGGCCGCAGUAAAAAAUUCAGAAAAUUUCGUAUCGAACAGCGUCGCAUCGGAUCGUCUAAUGACUUUAGCAGGUACAUAUGACAGCCAGAUCUAAGGUGGUGAAGCUUGUCGUAAUUAGAGCUUUGUUUCUGGAAUGUACUUCCGUAUCUUGCAAGCUACGUUUACGUUAUGAAAGCCUUACUUACCUACUAUUGGGUCAAUGGUGGAAUUUACGUGUUGCUGUUCCAGUAUUCAGGUUAACUCUGUUUCUUUCAUGAAAGACAGUAUAUUUUCUUGAGUAGUUUCUGCAGUCUUGCGAAUCACGAGCUGACUAAAGCCUAAGAAGUCGACACACUAGACUCACUUCUUUGAAGCACUAUGUUUAGGAUCUAACUCUCCUCUCAUGCAGAUGUUUUCAAUAUUAUUGUCAAUAAUCAGCUGUCGUAGACACAAUAUCUCUUGCCCUAAAUGUGAGCACAAAAGCAUAGAAUUUUCAUCUAGUACAUAUGAAGAACAAGCCGCACUCUCCUCUAUGUAAUGUUUUGUUUUUGUUUGUAAAUUGUAAUAUGUUCUUGUCACAAUAUAACUACCUGUUAACUUCCCUCCCACUGUUCCACAUCA
Coffea arabica (coffee) is the source of this 907-nucleotide long non-coding RNA. RefSeq lists it as uncharacterized. The record is from RefSeq and is a predicted model, not a curated record. NCBI's taxonomy places the organism in Eukaryota, Viridiplantae, Streptophyta, Magnoliopsida, Gentianales, Rubiaceae.